Molecule: small RNA, 103 nt
Filed under: Marmota monax (woodchuck)
Lineage: Eukaryota; Metazoa; Chordata; Mammalia; Rodentia; Sciuridae
Source: RNAcentral
GCUGGGCAUGGUGGUGCACUCCUGUAAUCCCAGCCAUUCUGGAGGCUGAGGCAGGAGAACCAUAAGUCAGAGGGCAGCCAACUUUAGCGGAAACCUGUCUCAA